This 376-nucleotide ribosomal RNA is filed under the name uncultured bacterium. RNAcentral's name for it is "partial 16S ribosomal RNA". It matches the Rfam family "Bacterial small subunit ribosomal RNA", at positions 524 to 898 of the family's 1533-position model. The record is from RNAcentral.
UACGGGGGGUGCGAGCGUUGUCCGGAUUCACUGGGCGUAAAGGGCGCGUAGGCGGCCGGGUCAGUCGGGCCUGUAAGUGCGGGGCUCAACCCCGUGAUGGGCUCGGGACGGCCGGGCUGGGGCGCGGUCGAGGGAGACGGAAUGCCGGGUGUAGUGGUGAAAUGCGUAGAGAUCCGGCGGAACACCGGUGGUGAAGGCGGUCUCCUAGGCCGAGGGCCGACGCUGAGGCGCGAGAGCGUGGGGAGCGAACCGGAUUAGAUACCCGGGUAGUCCACGCCGUAAACGGUGGAUGCUAGGUGUGGGGGGUAUCGACCCCCCCCGUGCCGGCGCGAACGCAGGAAGCAUCCCGCCUGGGGAGUACGGCCGCAAGGCUAAA